Molecule: long non-coding RNA, 1783 nt
Filed under: Solanum lycopersicum (tomato)
Lineage: Eukaryota; Viridiplantae; Streptophyta; Magnoliopsida; Solanales; Solanaceae
Description: long non-coding RNA (SLYC_LNC000169)
Source: RNAcentral
GAGCCGCGAGUGGCACCCACACUUAUCCUACUAUGUGAGCGAACCAACCAAUCUAAACCACAACAUUUCAAUCAUAAUAAACAGAAAAAUAAUGCGGAAGACUUUAAACUCAUUAACGAAAUCAAUAAUUAAUUUCUAAAACUCAAACUUAUCAUUAUCCCCAAAAUCUGGAAGUCAUCAUCACAAGAACAUCUAUCCUCAAAUUACUAAGUCUAAGAAUAUCUAAGAAACUAAAAUAACUAAAACGAUAGUCCAUGCCAGAACAUCAAGGCAUCAAGACGUGAAGAAGAAGAUCCAAUCCAAGCUAGAAACAAUAGCUCACCCUGAAAUCUGACGUGAUGAAGACUGGCUAGAGUUGCGGUUGAAUUGAAGACGACGAUAUGGUUGCUGCACUCCACAAUUAACAAAAAGAAAACAUACAAGUAGGGGUCAGUACAAAACACGAGUACUGAGUAGAUAUCAUCGGCCAACUCAAAAUAGAAAACAAUAUAUAUCGAAUAAUAACAUAAAAUCAACUACAAUACUUAACAGGUAGCAAACAACAAACACAUGAACCAUUGACAACAACACCAUAACAGGUACACCAUCAAUUUCAACAUCAAGCAAAGCUAUGAGGACUCAAGCCUCCACACCAUACUCAUUUGGGAAACAGGUUCAUUAAAUUGAGUACAUUAACAUAAUUCGAAAUCAUUUUUUUACUAUCCUGGUGUUGGAACGUGACACUCCGAUCUCCUAAUACUACGUGUCGGUUCGUGACACCCGAUCCAUUAAUACUAUAUGUCGGUUCGUGACACCCGAUCUAUUAAUACUACGUGUCGGUUCGUGACACCCGAUCCCCUAACCUCAUUCCUUUAGUCCAUCAAGCCUUCUUUUAUACCAAGGCAUCAUCAUUAACAAAGAGGUUUUAAGGUUUAAGAUUCAACCGCCUCAUCAUGCUUAAUUUAUCACAAUUAUGAAAUCACAUCAUGCGAGCACACAAUUAAGCAUAUAGAAGACUUUACAAUACUACCCAACACAUAUCAUUCGCUAUUAAGAGUUUACUAUGAAGUAGCAUAAACCAUAACCUACCUCCACCGAAGAAUUCGUGAUCCAGAAAUCUACUUUUCCAAAGCUUUGCUUUCCUCUUCGUUCUCUCCUCUUGAUCGAUCGUUUCUCCCUCUCUCUGUUCUUUUCUAUUUUUCUUAUUCCAACCCUGUUUUUCUUUUACCCUAAUUAGCAUAUAAUUAAGUAUGAAAGAUGACAAAAGUAACCCACUAAUUAAUUCAAGGUUAUCUCUUUUAACCCCCAAGUAAUUGAAUUAUUAACAUUAAACCACUAACUUUAUAAUUAUAAGCAGGAAUAGUCCAAAACGCCCCUUAAAAUAAUAGAAAUCCGACCCCGUUAGGGUUACACAGUCUGUGACGGCCCGUCGUGCCUACGACGGUCCAUCCUGCUGCUUCCGUCACAAAGUCCAGAGAAUCAAUUCAUUAAAGAGUCUGUGACGGUCCGUCGUUCCUACGACGGUCCGUCCUGCCAUGUCGUCGCGAAGUUCAGAGAGUUGUUCUCAGUACCCAAAUUUUUAGAAUCUAAGUGUUUUGGAACGAGACCCCCUCGACGGUCCGUCGUGCCCAUGACGGUCCAUCGUGGGAUCCGUCAACUCAGACAGUUAUUACCAGAAAUAAACUCUACAGCUCAAAACGACUAAACAGGUCGUUACACUUUUAUUUCUUACAACUCACAAUAGUAUUACUUGCACACUAUUUUCUCACAAACUAAGAAGUAGUUUGUGGAUUACUCUCUCUUU